ACACACACUGAGGUCAGGAGCCCUGAGAUAGAUCACUGGGAAGCUUAAAUAUGGUGAUAGGAUCUGCACACCAGAAGAGCCUAGCAUAAAUGUAGAACAACCAAGUAUGAGAAUGAAAUGGCCAACCCCACGCACAAAGGAAGGAAGAAGAUUUCUUGUCACUCCAACAACAAAAAAAUGACAAGGUGGAAAAGGCAAUCAUGAAUGUAACGUUAGGCCAUCAACAGAAUUUGAAAAAAAUGAAGAAAGCAAAAAAACCAACAAUAUUAGUCUGUUACUACAGCACGAACAAGAAAAUCCCUCAGAAUCAGCUGGAGUAUAAACAAGAGACCCCAGAGAGCUCUGACAAUCCAAGUAAUGGCCUGUGAGUGGCAGGGGCCAGAGAUCUGGGCCUAUCUCCUGUGUCUCAUGAGGGUGCAAUGGAGAAAUAGCCAUUACACAGAGACCACAUCUGAAAAAUGGUGGUGAUGAUGACAGUAAAAUCAAGUUAUCAACAA
Long non-coding RNA from Callorhinus ursinus (northern fur seal), 497 nucleotides. RefSeq lists it as uncharacterized. NCBI's taxonomy places the organism in Eukaryota, Metazoa, Chordata, Mammalia, Carnivora, Otariidae. The record is from RefSeq and is a predicted model, not a curated record.